GGGGGAUAUUGCGCAAUGGGGGAAACCCUGACGCAGCAACGCCGCGUGAAGGAUGAAGGUCUUCGGAUUGUAAACUUCUUUUAUUAAGGACGAAGAAAGUGACGGUACUUAAUGAAUAAGCUCCGGCUAACUACGUGCCAGCAGCCGCGGUAAUACGUAGGGAGCAAGCGUUGUCCGGAUUUACUGGGUGUAAAGGGUGCGUAGGCGGCUUUGCAAGUCAGAUGUGAAAUCUAUGGGCUCAACCCAUAGCCUGCAUUGGAAACUGCAGAGCUUGAGUGAAGUAGAGGCAGGCGGAAUUCCCCGUGUAGCGGUGAAAUGCGUAGAGAUGGGGAGGAACACCAGUGGCGAAGGCGGCCUGCUGGGCUUUAACUGACGCUGAGGCACGAAAGCGUGGGUAGCAAAC
This 403-nucleotide ribosomal RNA is filed under the name uncultured bacterium. Its description in RNAcentral is "bacterial SSU rRNA". It matches the Rfam family "Bacterial small subunit ribosomal RNA", at positions 356 to 773 of the family's 1533-position model. The record is from RNAcentral.